UUAUCCUCCACCUGAGCUCCCCUAAACAUUAGUUUCGUUACUCUAGCUGAAUUCUCUGUAGGAAAGAAAGCUUUCCAUCAUCAUCAGAUGGAGAAGAAAAGCUUCUCACAUAGAGAGGGCAUUUUCUUGCAGCAUCCAUUCUUCCUUUUCCUUAUUCUAGCCUUAGGUUUUGUUGUAAUGGAUCCCUUUAAAAUGGGUCCUGUAGGCUGCCAUGACUUCAGGCCUGUCAAGCACGACAUUGCACCUUACAAGCAAGUCAUGGAUAACUGGCCGAGAGACCAGUAUGGUCGUCUGGGGAAUGGGAAAUUGGAGUUUGAUGAUCAAAUUUUUGGCCCUGAAUCUUUGGAGUUUGAUAGCGUUGGUCGUGGUCCUUACACUGGACUAGCCGAUGGACGUGUUGUUAGAUGGAUGGGAGAGGCUAUUGGAUGGGAAACAUUUGCUGUUGUCACUACAAACUGGUCAGAGAAGCAUUGUGCUAGAGGUGUUGAUUCAACCACACCUAAGCAAUGGAAGCAUGAGAAACGAUGUGGUCGUCCACUGGGCCUAAGAUUCGACAAAAAGAGUGGAAAUUUAUACAUUGCAGAUGCUUAUUAUGGCCUUCUGGUUGUUGGACCUGAAGGAGGACUAGCUGCUCCUUUGGCAACUCAUGCAGCUGGAGACCCAAUACUCUUUGCCAAUGAUCUUGACAUACAUGAGAAUGGCUCUAUCUUCUUUACCGACACUAGCAAGAGAUAUGACAGAGUGAACCAUUUCUUCAUUUUGCUGGAAGGAGAAGCCACUGGCAGGCUUCUUAGAUAUGAUCCUCCUACCAAAACAACUCAUGUAGUAUUGGAUGGCUUGGCAUUUCCAAAUGGAGUACAGCUAUCUAGGGACCAGACAUUCCUUCUAUUCACAGAGACUACCAACUGCAGAUUGAUGAAAUUCUGGCUAGAGGGUCCAAAAACUGGAACAGUGGAACUUGUUGCUGACUUGCCAGGUUUUCCUGACAAUGUAAGACUAAAUGAUAAAGGACAAUUCUGGGUAGCAAUAGAUUGUUGCAGGACUCCAGCACAAGAGGUCCUCACACAUAAUCCAUGGAUGAGGAGCAUCUACUUCCGGUUACCAAUCCAAAUGAGCUUAUUAGCAAGAAUGAUGGGGAUGAGGAUGUACACUGUCAUAUCACUCUUCAGUGAAAAUGGAGAAAUCUUGGAAGUUCUUGAGGAUCCAAAAGGUGUAGUGAUGAAGCUAGUAAGUGAAGUUAGAGAGGUAGAAGGGAAGCUGUGGAUUGGAACUGUGGCUCAUAACCAUAUUGCAACCCUCCCCUAUCCUUAAUUAAUCCUUAGCUGCAAAAUCUUAUUGAUAAUUCUGUGAUGUAUUAAAUGGCUGGCUGGCCGCUUGUCUGCCUGCAAUAGGAAUUUCUGUAACAGAAUGAGCCUCAUUUAG
Molecule: unclassified non-coding RNA, 1422 nt
Filed under: Hevea brasiliensis (rubber tree)
Lineage: Eukaryota; Viridiplantae; Streptophyta; Magnoliopsida; Malpighiales; Euphorbiaceae
Source: RNAcentral